CAGUUACUUCACCUCAUGUUAACAAGGGUGAAUCAGCAAAAUUACUUGGGCCACCUAAAGCAGCUGGCCUGCAAUUUCCACAUGAAAUCACUACAGAUUACUCUGUUCAGCAGUCAAAAUCUGUGCUUGAACCAGUGAGUUCUGUUUCACCUUCAAUCAGUAUCAAGAAUACGUCUGCAACAUCCGCCUCUGUGUCAGCGCAGAAACUGCCAUCCAGUAACUAUUCUUCUUCUGUUGUACCUUAGGAUGAAUCUUCAUCUCUUGGAGCCAACGCAGAAGGUAGAAGAGAAAACGUUAGAAGGUCGGACUCUUUCAAGGAUCAUUUGAAGAAGACAACUAAGAAAGAUGUACAGGAUUGUCAUUCACAACGCCAGGAAAAUGCCUCGGACUCUGUAGGUGCUUCUAAGUCCUUUUCGUCCGUUGUCUCUUGUGAAGUUGCCAAACGCCCUGAAACUAGUCAGGAUUUACCUUCAGAGGUAGUUAAGUCAUCAACUAGUGGUUAUGAUGCUUGUGAGGUAUUAAAUGGUGCAACGAAUGGUGGGGCCAGUGAACCAUUCAGCACUUGUGACCUUGGACUCGCAAAAGAGAUUGAGCAAACACUGGAAAUUCUAGUGAAAGAAAAAUCUUCAGCGGACCCAAAGUCAUCUGACAUUUCAGAACACAAUGAACAUAAAGACGGAUCCAGAGGGAAAGAAGAGAACACCAGUGACUAGUUCCGCAGAAGCUGAACAGGUGAUGGGAAAAACUGCUGCUUGUAGCUCAGAAGAUAACAUGGUGACGGUUGACGAUGUUGCACUAGCUUCCAGUGAUGCCGUAAAUGUUUCUACUUCUGUUUCACUUCCUGUAUCUCGAGAUAUUGCUACAGAUUCACAUACAGUUGUAAAUGAAACCACUGGUGGGAUAGAAGUAUCCAUUUAUCUCACCCAGACCCUGCUCCUGUUAUGUCACCAGCUUCAUGAGAAGUUAAUUCUGAGUUUGAAGGCAAAAACACUUCAGGGGCUGUUUCUGAGUUCUGUUUCUGGUUCAAUUUCCACUUCAGGGGCUGUUUCUAAGGAUAAGCCCGAACUAACUAGGACUAAGAGCAACAUCACUGCGAAAGCAAAAAAAAAGAGGAAACACAUUCUCAAGGCCGCGGAUGCUGCUGGAUCAAGUUCCGAGCUUCACAAUGCGUACCAGGGUCCAGAGGAAAAGCAUGAAGCAUCUGAAAUACUGGACAGUUCUCACAAUGCUAGUUCAAAUCUUGAACCCUGCAAAGUGGCGGAGAAGGAUUUUACAGCCAGUGAAAAAGAUGCAGAGAGUAAAUCUGAGCCAGAUGAUUGGGAAGAUGCUGCAGAGAUUUCUACUCCAAAAUUGAAGAUCUCUGAUGACGGGAAGCAGCUUGAUGGAGAUGGGAGUGGUGGUACUAGCAAAAAGUAUAGCAGAGAUUUUCUCCUGACAUUUUCAGAGCAAUGCAAUGUACUUCCCAUAAACGUUAAUAUUGGACCCGACAUAGCAGAUUCUUUGAUGAGUGUUCAAAUAGCUAUUUCUCAUCAUGUUGAUCGAGAACCAUAUCCAAGUUCUGAAAAAGUUGUUGAUAGACCGAGUGGGGGACCUCGGCCAGAUCGACGUGGCAGUGGUAUGUUGGAUGAGGGUAAUAAACCUUGGAACAGGCUACCUGGUAGGAAGGGAUCCGCUCAUGGACCCAAUCAGACACGCAGAAGGUUCUUCCGGAGGUUUUCGGCCUCAAGGAGGGGAAAUCAUGGCGUAUUAAAGAAUCCUCGGGGACAUCCACCUGGACACUAUACUGGUGGUAUUCUUUCUGGGCCAAUGCAACAGGGUGGGAUGCCAAGAAACAACUCCGAAAAUGUUGUAAAGCAAAACACCAAAUUCUCUGCUCUUUAAAGGUGACGUUCCAAAAAUCUUCUCGACUCCAAUGAUACGAAAUUUCCAGAAUGUAGCAGCGGAAAACACCAAAUUCUCUGCUCUGAACUGAAGUGAUUGUAUGUUGCUAUCACUCGUACUAGGCGGAGACUGUGGAUCUGUGAGAAUAUAGAUGAUUUUCGAAGCCUAUAUUUGAUUACUGGAAGAAGUUAUGUCUCGUUCAAGUGAGAGAACUUGAUGAACCAGUUGUACAAGCAAUGCAAGUUACGAGCAGCACAGAAGAAUGGAGUUCACGCGGUAUCAAGUACUUAAUGAUGGUUAUUUUGAUAUGGCGACAGUGUGCUUUAAAAGAGCUGGUGAUUCAUUCUUGGAGAAACUUGCUAAAGCUUCUGGUCUUAGAGCUGCUGGUAUUCACUGCUUGGUUCUAAUACUGAACUAGCUUGGGUUGCUCUUGUAGUGACAGCUGAGAUUGUGCUGCCAAAUGUCUCGUGGAGUUAAAGGAAUUUAGAAGAGCAGGUACGAUUGAUUAGGAACGCUGUGGGGAACCUAGGCUUGAAGAAGCUGGCGACUGUUUCAGUCUUUCUGGAUGUUGGUCUACUGCAGCUGAUGUGUAUUUGGUUAAUAAAAUCAAGCCUUUUCCACUCAUGUUCCCUGAAUUUGUAUCUUCUGCUCAAAACUAUUGGGGAAGUUGAAAAGCAUCGACAAACAUUCUGAUUUGGCUAAAACUGGUAAGGGUUAUUUCAUGUCGACUACUGGUCCUUUUCAACAAGGAAUAACCGCUCUUAACAGUUAUCAAGUUGCAAAAUCAAUAAUAGAGCCCAAGAUACCGGGCAAAAGCUUCCUGGAGAACUGCUCAAUUGCUUGGAACAUACCGAGCAGCGUUUUUUCGCGAUGUAUUGUCAGAGGGACCCGAAGAUAAGAUGGUUAUGAUCGAUCUGAGACUAACUGAAUAUCAUGAGCACAAAAGGAAGGUUAACGUAUGUGAACAUGUGGAGUGUGGUUUUGCUGAUUUCAAUGUCGGUAAUCUAAGUGAAGAACUGUAUCAAGUUAUAAUACAAUGUUCGGGUCUGUCUCCAACCUAUAAAGUUUUCAUUAAGCAGUUGAAAGAGAACAUGAUAUCAGGAUUGGUCUCGGUUUCUUUGGUCAGCAAUUUUGAAAAAUCAUUGCUCUCAACCACGACUGGAAGAAAGAUUUCUAUGUCAUGCGACCUUCCUGGUUUGUUUAUUUUCUUUGGCGUCUUCUUUUCUUGGUUUCAUCUUGGCAUGGUUCCUUUCUUACAUUAAAGUCUUCUGUCCGUGAAAUAAUUCCCCGGGGGACUCUAAGAUGCAACUCGAGCUCUUUAUCAGUAGCUGACUCAAAAGUUUUCUCUAGGAGGUCUUUCGAUUAUGGGCGUUCCAUGCAGUUGUUUACGAAUACAUCUCGUAUUUUCGAAAAGAAUUUUUGAGGACAUCAGCUUUCAUGAUUGCAAACCAUGGAUGAAGCUGGAUAUUUGCAUUUAUUUCGUAGUAGUAUUCGUCUGCUUGUUAAAGAUGUGAAGUGGAUGAAGGAACUAAAGCUGCUCUCUUAUGCAUUAAGUGGCAGGAUAUGGAUGAGGAGGGAGAUUGAAAUUGCAGUUGUUACACAUAGUGGAUUCUUGUGCCAUUCCCUAAAAUCAUUUGGAAGUAGCUGUCAUCCAUUGAUGAAGGUUGAAGUCUGCAAGCAGUAUUUUGCUGCCUCCCUAGGAGUUUAAUUGUAACAGUCUUCCCAUAACUAAAACUAAAAGAAAAGGUUGAAGCUGGCAGAGAGCCCUGAUAUUCUUAACUUUGCGAAUCGUACGUGAACUUCGGUUAAUGGUGAUCGUUGAUAGAGGGUGAGUGAAUGUGCCUUGUCUUGAUUGCCAUUUAGUGUUAGAUGAUUGUUUUUCUGUAAUAACAGUUUCCACUGGGCAGUUCAAAAGAAUCUUCUUACAUGAGAGAAACUAUUCUGAGUUUUUAUUGAUAUGUGAUCAAAUGCAGUCUGACAAACAAGUUAAGAAUUUCCUGUAAAUAAAGUAAUUUUCAAUUACACCAAUAGAUCAAUAAAUAAUUUUAGAAAAGGUA
Papaver somniferum (opium poppy) is the source of this 3938-nucleotide RNA transcript. RefSeq lists it as uncharacterized. Lineage: Eukaryota; Viridiplantae; Streptophyta; Magnoliopsida; Ranunculales; Papaveraceae. The transcript has 8 exons. The record is from RefSeq and is a predicted model, not a curated record.